AGUAUUUGGAUUCCUUAUAAUAUUUCAAAUUAUUUUCUGUUGGACAGGCAAGAUUAAUUUUGAUGAUAUAAACCUGGAGAAAAACUAUGAUGCACACACAAGUUAUCGACAGAGCAAGCUGGCAAAUGUUCUGUUUACCCGGGAACUAGCUGUCAGACUGAAAGGCACCGAAGUGACAACGAACGCUCUUCAUCCUGGGGUGAUCCAUACUGAGCUGGGCCGACACCUUCUCCCCUCUCUGCCUCUAUGGAAAAGGCUUUUGUUCUUGCCCCUUUUUUUCUUUGUCAAAACCCCUUGGCAGGGUGCGCAGACCACCAUCUACUGCGCAGUGAAUGAGAGUCUGCAGAAUACUAGCGGACUUUACUACAGUGAUUGUGCACCCAAAGAGGCAGCUCCUCAGGGUAGAGAUGAUGCUGCAGCCCGCAGACUGUGGGAUCUCAGUGCUUCUAUGGUGGGCCUGGCUUGAGACAAGACCUUGCCCCGUGAAAAUCACUCUCUUCAUUUAAAAAUCAGUUUGUCACAUUUCCUGUGUAGAAUGUGCAUUUCAAAUUUGCAGACUAGUAAAUCUGCUACUUUAUAUCAAGUACAGAGAGCCAGUUUAAGAAUGUAGCAAAGUAGUGUUUCGGUGUGCAGGAUGAGGCUGGCUCUGUAACAAAGUGCCUAUGCAAUGAGAUGAACUGCAAUAUGAAGUGUGAAUUUCAGCAGUAAAUAAUUAGUGAGAUUUUAUAUACUGUAAUGCCAUUAGCCAUUUUGCAUAGCGUAAUUAGACAUUUAAUGUACCUUUUAAAAAUAGAUUUCAUUGCCAGUACUUAUGUAAUUUGUUACCAUGUUUCACAAUAAAAUUGUGUAAUAUGAAUUUAGGUUAACAUUUCAAUAAAGCCUAUUUUUGAAUAAUGAAAUAAAGACAAUGAAUCAGUACCCUCUAUAAAAUGAGUUUAUGGUAAAGGUAAAGAGCAUUUUAUAAAAGCUGUAGCACAACAUGAGCAGGAUUUUGGAAUAAAAUUUGAGUUUUUAAAAUUCCCUUACAUAAACAGUUUGUUUGAAAUCUCAUUGUAAAUAAGCACAUUUAAAAUAUUACACUUUGAUAUUGUUUUCAUUAAGUGACAAGCAUGAUUGUCAUGAAAUGAUAAUCAAGUCUGUAUUAAGAAGAGUAACAAACACUUUACCAAUUAGCAAAGUGCCUCAAUCUAAAAACUAAUUCUCUUUGGGGCUAUAA
Molecule: long non-coding RNA, 1216 nt
Organism: Sinocyclocheilus grahami
Lineage: Eukaryota; Metazoa; Chordata; Actinopteri; Cypriniformes; Cyprinidae
Exons: 3
Source: RefSeq, a predicted model, not a curated record